UGUGUGUGUGUGUGUGUUAGACCGGGGUCCUGCUGCCUCUUCUUCCUCUCUUGAUCACUCUGACACCCAGACGACAUGUGAGCCGACACAUGAGCCGACACACAGGUGGACUACACAGGGUGGUGUAAGUGUCAUGUAGUGCACUUAAGGUCUAAGAGGGAGCCAUUUAAGAUUCAGCCAAGGUUGUGGUGUGAGACACGGGACCCCGAAAUCAAACCAUCAAGCGUCUUAAAGCGGGUGUAAAGCUGCCAGACGGAACACGGGGAUGUCUAAUGGACCCCAUUCCCGCUGACUCACAACAAUGGGUCCUCGGGUGGUUUCCCUGUAGACGUGCUGGUAGCCCAGGUACAGUAUGAGGGUGAAGGUGCAGUACAGGAAACCAAAGACGCCCACAGACACAAAG
Molecule: long non-coding RNA, 403 nt
Organism: Tachysurus vachellii
Lineage: Eukaryota; Metazoa; Chordata; Actinopteri; Siluriformes; Bagridae
Exons: 3
Source: RefSeq, a predicted model, not a curated record